UAACGAAGAGUCGCUGUCGUCACUGGCGU
Molecule: small RNA, 29 nt
Filed under: Bombyx mori (domestic silkworm)
Lineage: Eukaryota; Metazoa; Arthropoda; Insecta; Lepidoptera; Bombycidae
Description: piRNA piR-bmo-1342380
Source: RNAcentral